UAGGGAAUCUUCCGCAAUGGACGCAAGUCUGACGGAGCAACGCCGCGCGAGUGAAGAAGGAUUUCGGUUCGUAAAACUCUGUUGUUAGAGAAGAACAGCGCAUAGAGUAACUGUUAUGCGUGUGACGGUAUCUAACCAGAAAGCCACGGCUAACUACGUGCCAGCAGCCGCGGUAAUACGUAGGUGGCAAGCGUUGUCCGGAUUUAUUGGGCGUAAAGCGAGCGCAGGCGGUCAAUUAAGUCUGAUGUGAAAGCCCCCGGAUCAACCGGGGAGGGUCAUUGGAAACUGGUUGGCUUGAGUGCAGAAGAGGAGAGUGGAAUUCCAUGUGUAGCGGUGAAAUGCGUAGAUAUAUGGAGGAACACCAGUGGCGAAGGCGACUCUCUGGUCUGUAACUGACGCUGAGGCUCGAGAGCGUGGGUAGCAAACAGG
Molecule: ribosomal RNA, 429 nt
Filed under: Bacteroidota bacterium
Lineage: Bacteria; Pseudomonadati; Bacteroidota
Description: Bacteroidetes bacterium partial 16S ribosomal RNA
Rfam family: Bacterial small subunit ribosomal RNA
Source: RNAcentral